This 1343-nucleotide ribosomal RNA is filed under the name uncultured bacterium. RNAcentral describes it as "16S ribosomal RNA". It matches the Rfam family "Bacterial small subunit ribosomal RNA", at positions 28 to 1378 of the family's 1533-position model. The record is from RNAcentral.
GACGAACGCUUGCGGCGUGCUUAACACAUGCAAGUCGAACGGAAAGGCCCUGCUUUUGUGGGGUGCUCGAGUGGCGAACGGGUGAGUAACACGUGAGUAACCUGCCCUUGACUUUGGGAUAACUUCAGGAAACUGGGGCUAAUACCGGAUAGGAGCUCCUGCUGCAUGGUGGGGGUUGGAAAGUUUCGGCGGUUGGGGAUGGACUCGCGGCUUAUCAGCUUGUUGGUGGGGUAGUGGCUUACCAAGGCUUUGACGGGUAGCCGGCCUGAGAGGGUGACCGGCCACAUUGGGACUGAGAUACGGCCCAGACUCCUACGGGAGGCAGCAGUGGGGAAUAUUGCACAAUGGGCGGAAGCCUGAUGCAGCAACGCCGCGUGCGGGAUGACGGCCUUCGGGUUGUAAACCGCUUUCGCCUGUGACGAAGCGUGAGUGACGGUAAUGGGUAAAGAAGCACCGGCUAACUACGUGCCAGCAGCCGCGGUGAUACGUAGGGUGCGAGCGUUGUCCGGAUUUAUUGGGCGUAAAGGGCUCGUAGGUGGUUGAUCGCGUCGGAAGUGUAAUCUUGGGGCUUAACCCUGAGCGUGCUUUCGAUACGGGUUGACUUGAGGAAGGUAGGGGAGAAUGGGAUUCCUGGUGGAGCGGUGGAAUGCGCAGAUAUCAGGAGGAACACCAGUGGCGAAGGCGGUUCUCUGGGCCUUUCCUGACGCUGAGGAGCGAAAGCGUGGGGAGCGAACAGGCUUAGAUACCCUGGUAGUCCACGCUGUAAACGGUGGGUACUAGGUGUGGGGUCCAUUCCACGGGUUCCGUGCCGUAGCUAACGCUUUAAGUACCCCGCCUGGGGAGUACGGCCGCAAGGCUAAAACUCAAAGGAAUUGACGGGGCCCCGCACAAGCGGCGGAGCAUGCGGAUUAAUUCGAUGCAACGCGUAGAACCUUACCUGGGUUUGACAUGGAUCGGGAGUGCUCAGAGAUGGGUGUGCCUCUUUUGGGGUCGGUUCACAGGUGGUGCAUGCCUGUCGUCAGCUCGUGUCGUGAGAUGUUGGGUUAAGUCCCGCAACGAGCGCAACCCUUGUUCACUGUUGCCAGCACGUUAUGGUGGGGACUCAGUGGAGACCGCCGGGGUCAACUCGGAGGAAGGUGGGGAUGACGUCAAGUCAUCAUGCCCCUUAUGUCCAGGGCUUCACGCAUGCUACAAUGGCUGGUACAGAGAGUGGCGAGCCUGUGAGGGUGAGCGAAUCUCGGAAAGCCGGUCUCAGUUCGGAUUGGGGUCUGCAACUCGACCUCAUGAAGUCGGAGUCGCUAGUAAUCGCAGAUCAGCAACGCUGCGGUGAAUACGUUCCCGGG